UCACCCCAAGUGCUCGCUUAUGAUGAGUUUGAGCAAGAGCAAUUGCAGCAAGAUGAUGCAACGCUCCUUGAGGAAGAUCGUCUUCGGGCGGCUGUGAGAGUAGCGCGCUACCAGCAAGCCUUGCGCCGCUCCCAUAGCCGCAAGGUUCAUGCCCGAAGCUUUGAGGAAGGUGACCUUGUUCUUCGGCGCGUUUAA
This 195-nucleotide ribosomal RNA is filed under the name Triticum aestivum (bread wheat). RNAcentral's name for it is "partial small subunit ribosomal RNA". Lineage: Eukaryota; Viridiplantae; Streptophyta; Magnoliopsida; Poales; Poaceae. The record is from RNAcentral.